This is an RNA transcript of Stegostoma tigrinum, 5695 nucleotides long. It is a transcript of the gene named ras association domain-containing protein 9-like, with no coding region annotated. The record is from RefSeq and is a predicted model, not a curated record. The transcript has 3 exons. NCBI's taxonomy places the organism in Eukaryota, Metazoa, Chordata, Chondrichthyes, Orectolobiformes, Stegostomatidae.
UUCCACACUGUAUGCCUCUAAGACUAUUGACUCCGUAACCAGGCAACCAAAGCUCCCUGCCAAUGUUCACACCUAACAGUGACCAUGCUUGUGGGGCAUCAUCACAUUGGGAUGGGAUCUUGAAGUGUAGCAAACAGUAAGGGUUAACAAUAAACUGAAAAGUGUCAGUAAUUUCAAACUACUAUAAACCAUGAAAACGUUUAAAUGAUUUCAGAAAAAUAAACGGUAAUGUGUUAUUGCUACUUUAAUUUAAUACAACUCUAAUUUAAACGAAGACUGUUACAUUUUAGGUUUGGGAGCAGAAAUAACGAUCUUUAUCAGGGGGCAGAGAUGUUCUGCGUGACUCGACUGGGGGUAAAGCGUUGGAGAUGUAGGAAGUUUUAAGAAGCUGUUAACUUGUUUGUAGCGCUGUGGCAGCCAAGUGGUGGAAAAAGUACCAAGUGAGAUGAACGUGCAAGACUUAAUAUGUUUACAACGUCCUCCGUUUGGGUCUUUUUCCCCCCUUUCAACGUUCAAAAACGCGUAAAUAUUCUGAAUAUAUGGAAAAAUUGUUGCGCGAGGUCAACACUCAAAAUGAGAUAUCUGAGGGCAAACCUAAUGGGGGACACCCUACUGUAAUGUAUCACUUGACUGAGGUGGAGCUAAUGAAGAGAUUGUUUGGGUUGAAGAGGCAAUAUCGUCAGAGUCAGAAAACGAUGCAGAGUUGGGACAGUGAGCGAAGUUUUCACCCUGCAGGGAGUUGAUUUCGCCGCCUCCCCAGUGUAAAGCAGGUCCAUGGGUUCCCCGGAGGGUGCCAAGCUGUCGGUGUGGGUAUGCCAGGAGGAGAAGGUGGUGUGCGGGCUGACCAAGAGGACUAGCUGCGCCCAGGUGGUGAGAGCUCUGCUGCGGGAUCACCUCGCCCACGCCGGGGACACUAGGCUGCUGCACGCCCCGGCCCGGGAUUACUGCCUGGCCGAGAAGUGGAGGGGCUUCGAGAGGCUGUUGCCGCCCGCCACCAAGCUGCUCAGGCUCUGGCUGUCCUGGGGCUCGGAGCGGCGCAAUGUGCGCUUCGUCCUGGUCAAGUGGGACGCCCGGCUGCCGCUGCCCGGCCUCCGGAGCGCCGAGGCCAAGGUGGUGCCGAGCAGCAGCGGCGAGGGUCAGCGAGGAGAGAGGCGUCCGGCCGGCCGCUCCGUGCGGGACCUGCCGCGGGACAAGCAAAGGAGGAUGGUGAGGAAAGCCUUCAGGAAACUGGCCAAGAUGAAGAAGCUGAGGCAGGGCCGGGAGCGCAUGGAGACCCUGGUGCACCUGAUCGUCUCUCAGGACCACACGAUCCGCCAGCAGCUGAGCCGGCUGCGGGAGCUCGACGGCGACAUCGAGCGGUUCGAGGGCCGCCUGCACUCGGAGCGGGUCCAGAGCGACGGGCAGAACUACGUGCAGGAGACCUACCUGCUGGAGGGCGGGCCCCUCCAGGAGUACCUCGAGCGGAGCGAGGCGGUUUACCGGCUCGAGGAGGAUCUCGAGCGGCAUCGCGAGGCCGUCCGGAGGCUGAGCGAGGAGCUCGAGCUGGAGCGCGAACAGCUGCUCGGCGGCGGCGGCGGCGACAACAGCGGCCCCGAGCGGCUGGAGGAAGAGGAGGAGGGCAGCUCGGACAGGCUCCCGGGCGAGCUGGAGAGGACCGCGUGCCGCGCGCGGCAGCUCAGCCGGAGUCUCGCGGACGUGCAGCGCAGGCUGCAGCAGCAGGAAGCCGCGCUGCACGAGAAGGCGGAGGAAUACGAGCGCCUCGCGCGGCAGCUGGAGCACCUCAGCCUUGCCGAAGAGGCGGACGGCGGCGGUGGUGGUGGUGAAGCGCCUGGCCCCUGCCAGAUCUCGACCAAGGGCUCCGUCACAUCUCCGCCUGAGAGUGGCUUCGCCCUUUCGGAGGUGAACGACACCGAUUCAGACACAGGGAUCAGCUCCACUCACAGCCAGGACUCCGAAUCGCCCUGUGUCGGUGUGUUUCCCGGUCCGCAAAACUAUCUCUGAAUCGACCUUUGGUUAAAUUCUGUUUUCUUGUGAACAAACCAGGAGGGACAGUAACGCCCGUGGGACACGACGCAUGAAAGGUCCUACACAUCUUUCAGAUGUUAGAUGCGUCUUUUCAAAAGAAAUGCCUUUAAUAAGUGACUUUAAAUUAAGUGCAGUUCGGAAAUUUGUACCGUUCAGUUUCGAGGGAAGUUGAGACUUGUCCAACUGCAAACCGUUAAUAGUAUUCUGAAACAAAAACAGAAAUUGCUGGGAAAGUAUUCAGAAAUUCUGUCAUUGGGUUGUUACGGCUGGUCGUACAUACUGGGGACAGAGAUUGGACAAAUUCCUAAGCACCAGAUAAUUCCUGAACAAAUUCUUCCCACCUUUUUACGUUUAAAAUUUAAAAAAGGCACUGCUAAUAAAAGACGAGGGACUUGUAGAAAACCAACUGUCAUUCUGUUAUCCAAGGAAUUAGCCAACACCAUUGCAGAGCAAGUGCAAAAACCCACCACUGUAGUUAUCCUCAUUCAGAAUGCCUGAAGCAACAGACUGAGAAGAUUGCACUGUGAACGCACCUUUUCUUAAGUGUAUAAGGUGUUGGAAAUGCAGAUCAUGGAAUCUCUGGUUGUUUAGGGUGAUAAUGGUUUGAAGAUUAAUCUACAAACAGUACACCCCACCUAAGUGCGCAGUUUCCUCUUACACACUUUAUCUUGGACAAACCCAUUCAGAGUAUUAACAUCCAAAGUAAGUCUGCUGAAACUUUACCGCCUGAACACAAAGCACCAGUUGUGCUGAGACCAGAAAGCAAAAGUAGGCAAAACUGCAUGGUAGUAACAGACCAGGACAGCUUUCCUCUUGUUGGAAUCAGUUUAACUCAAAUCCUUUAUUCCUGGAAUUGUGUCAACCAGACUUUCCCUUGCUCAUAACACCCAGGUAAUGUUUAACAGUAUAUUGAUGAUGAAACUAGAGAUUUCUGCCUUAACUGAUUCCAGAAUUUUUAAGAAUGUCUAAUUGUGACUAUAUCCAUUGUAUGCUGUCCUAUUGUAAAUCUUAACGGAAGUUGUGUUCUGAGAAAUGUAGCCAUUUUAUAGGCUCAGGUGGUUUCAUUCCUUGUCGAUAUCUAGCUUCACAAUACCAUUUCCUGGAUGAGCUACAACCAAUACUAAAGAGCCCACUAACCCUUUAAGAAUGCAGAGGAGCAGCCACACAACAGACUUGAGUACUCUGCUUGACAUCCAACCAGUUUUCGGUGUUUCAGGGCUCCAUUCAGCAAGAUUGUCUGAGGUCGAGUAUAAACCCAACACUGCCACUGUUGCACUGAAUGUGGGUGAUAGUGCUGUACUUGAUGUCACCCUUUUACUUUGAGUUCAUGUUCUAGUCUCCACCGACCAAGGCUGAAUUGAAUAGCAUUAAAACCUUUCGGCCUUACUUUGGAGCAGUGCUUCCGUUCGUCAAAGACUCAGUUCUCCGAUUUGUGAAUAAUGAUUCAGAUUUCCUAGAUAUACUGAUAUAAAUGUGUGCAUGUGUUUUAAAUGGCAGUAUUGCUGUUAAAAACCAGUAAUUAUUGCCCAACCCUAAUCGUCCAUGGAAGAAGGCAGUAGCGAGCCACUGCCUUGACAAUGACAUGCCAGGCCAUUUUAGAGGCCAGUGAAAAGCCAAUCAUCCUGCUGCGAUAUUGAGUCAUAUGUAGACCAUACUAAGAAAGAAGAGCAGAUUUCCUAAAAGAUAUUUAUGAGCCAUGGGUUGCUCUGCUAAUCCAAUCAUUUUUGGAUGCUAUCUUAUCCUAAGAUUUAAUUAAUUUAGUUUAAAUCCCCAGCUGCAUAGAAGUUAGUCUGACAGUUUGAUUAAAAUUGAUCAAUCUUAUGAUGUGUUUAACCGUACUAGUUCCCUAACACUCAGGAAUUCAGUAGAGAGAUUGUUGCUAAGGUAUUUGAUGUUCUUCAGUGGAUGUAUAAGGAUGUAUUUUGCAGAAUUAGCUUAAAAUGUAGGUAACAACAUAAAUGAAGCAAACAAAAUUUAUUUCAUUUGCCUUACUUCUUACAACCCAUAGACUGUGAAAGUUUAUGUUCAUUAUCAUCGAAAGGUUAAAAGCAAAAUAUUAGGGAUGCUAGAAAUCUGAGGUAAAAACAGAAAGUGCUGUAGGCAUUUGGCAGGCGUGGCAUCACCUGUGUAAGAGAAACAGUGAAUGCCUUGAGUCCAAAGACUCUCCUCUUCCAUUCCAAAGGAGAGUCUUUGGACUCAAAAUGUUGGCUCUGUUUCUCUGUCCGCAGAUACUGCCAGACCUGCCAUUUCCAGCAUUUUGUAUUUAGAUUACUUGCCUUAUUCUUUCAGUGUUGGUAGAGUCCUUCACUUAUGCCUCAAUUUAACAAAAAAACUACACCAGCAGUCUCUGUGACUGAUAUUACUGUCCAAAAAGCUACCUUCUUAUUAAUUGUCAAAAAUAUAGAGCUCACGUGAAUGAGAUCGAUGCAGGUCUCGGUUGUCAACAGCUGAUUGACAUUCUUCUUGACAACUGUCAUCACCAUCUAUUUCACAAACUAUUUUCAGUAAACAGAAUGUUGUAUGCUGAAAAAUGCCAGGAGAACCUAAACUGGCAAAUUACAAUAAACAUGUUUUGAAGUUGUUAUCAGUUUUCAUAAUUGCAGAUUUGUUAUGUUGCUCCACCUCUGCAUUGUACCGUAGGAAAAAUGCACUGUAUAUUGUUCAUAGGUGUCCUGGUCUGCUUCCAAAUAAUUUGUGUGUAAAAUGUACCAAAUGAUUUCAAGAACGGUUAUAUUGACUCUAUGGUGACACAGCAGUCUCAUCUAUAGUUUGUAUAGGGAGACGACAAAACAUAUACUCAACAAUAUAUUUCUGAGUUUUUUUUAUGAUCUGUUCCAUACUCGAGAUGAAAUUCUGUAAUUCUUAAACAAUAAUCAUAGAUUAUGAAAAUUUUCAGCCAAACAAUUAACAUAGAUGGUCACUGUGUUCCAGUAUCUCUCAAUUCACUUUGUCUCGAUUGUAAAGAAAUAGUUUUCAACAAUAACAUUAACAUAAGGUUUAAAUAAGCUUCAUUUGCAAUGGAUUUCAAAGUGAUGGAAUGUGCAUUCUAUUUGUCAAAAAAAGUCGUUUCAGUAAUCUCAAAGAACAAACUAUAGCAAAUUCCAGAAUAUCUGUUGUACUAGCUUGUUACUAGUGCUUGUUCUUCCAGUUGACAUGAAGCUUGCACUUCAAAUGCAUAUCUGAAUUUUUCUGUCAUGGGUAAGCCAACAUUUUGAACAAAUUAUUGCAAAUUAAAUUUAAAAUGACAAUCGCCUUUCUUUCAGAGUUAUAAAUUUAUUACACUAGACACAAGUUUCUGUAACAAAUUUCUGGUUCAUCUUAACAACUUCUUGCACUUAAAUAUAUUUGUUCAUUGACAUGCUUCAGAAAAGUUAUUAUGUUAAAGGAAAAUUGAUUAUCUUGCUUGACAUUCUGUGCCAACAACAGGGUAAUAGAAUGGAAAGGUUGAUAAGAUGUUAAUAAAAUAUUUUUGAAAGCUUCCUUGGAGCAAUUUCAUGCUACACCCUGUGAAGAAAUCAAUUAUAAUAAGUAUGACUUUGUUGUAAAAGUUAAUCACUCUUUCUGUAUUCUGUUAUUUCAUGAAAAUGUUACCUCCUUUUAUACUUUUGUGAUCAGUUUAUUGAGACUCACUUUGUACACUUGUGUAAUUAUGUUGCUGACUAAAUAAAAA